Molecule: small RNA, 365 nt
Filed under: Bacillus manliponensis
Lineage: Bacteria; Bacillati; Bacillota; Bacilli; Caryophanales; Bacillaceae
Description: Bacillus sp. BL4-6 cspA thermoregulator
Rfam family: cspA thermoregulator
Source: Rfam by way of RNAcentral
GUAUAUUGGGAUUAUCAUUUAGCAGAAUAUUCGAGAAUAUAGCAAUUUUAAUUUUUGAAUUUGCUUAUCUCCCUUUAUUCCUUUAAAUGAGAAAGUUAUUUGUCUUUUAGGAGGAAAUGUAACAUGCAAGGAAAAGUAAAAUGGUUUAAUAACGAAAAAGGUUUCGGUUUUAUCGAAAUUGAAGGUGCUGAAGAUGUAUUCGUACACUUCACAGCUAUCCAAGGCGACGGUUACAAAGCUUUAGAGGAAGGUCAAGAAGUUUCUUUUGAAAUCGUAGAAGGAAACCGCGGACCUCAAGCUGCUAACGUAGUAAAACUGUAAUUCGCUAUAUAACAGGAGGUUACCUUUUCGGUAACCUCCUUUUC